UAAUACGGAGGGUGCAAGCGUUAAUCGGAAUUACUGGGCGUAAAGCGUGCGUAGGUGGUUAAUUAAGUUAUCUGUGAAAUCCCUGGGCUUAACCUGGGCAGGUCAGAUGAUACUGGUUGACUCGAGUAUGGGAGAGGGUAGUGGAAUUUCCGGUGUAGCGGUGAAAUGCGUAGAGAUCGGAAGGAACACCAGUGGCGAAGGCGGCUACCUGGCCUAAUACUGACACUGAGGCACGAAAGCGUGGGGAGCAAACAGGAUUAGAUACCCUGGUAGUCCACGCCGUAAACGAUGUCAACUAGCUGUUGGUUAUAUGAAAAUAAUUAGUGGCGCAGCAAACGCGAUAAGUUGACCGCCUGGGGAGUACGGUCGCAAGAUUAAAACUCAAAGGAAUUGACGG
Molecule: ribosomal RNA, 397 nt
Filed under: uncultured bacterium
Lineage: Bacteria
Description: bacterial SSU rRNA
Rfam family: Bacterial small subunit ribosomal RNA
Source: RNAcentral